GAUGAACGCUGGCGGCGUGCUUAACACAUGCAAGUCGAACGAAGCACCUUGAUUCGAUUCUUCGGAUGAAGAUCUUGGUGACUGAGUGGCGGACGGGUGAGUAACGCGUGGGUAACCUGCCUCAUACAGGGGGAUAACAGUUAGAAAUGACUGCUAAUACCGCAUAAGACCACAGCACCGCAUGGUGCAGGGGUAAAAACUCCGGUGGUAUGAGAUGGACCUGCGUCUGAUUAGGUAGUUGGUGGGGUAACGGCCUACCAAGCCGACGAUCAGUAGCCGACCUGAGAGGGUGACCGGCCACAUUGGGACUGAGACACGGCCCAAACUCCUACGGGAGGCAGCAGUGGGGAAUAUUGCACAAUGGGGGAAACCCUGAUGCAGCGACGCCGCGUGAGCGAUGAAGUAUUUCGGUAUGUAAAGCUCUAUCAGCAGGGAAGAAAAUGACGGUACCUGACUAAGAAGCACCGGCUAAAUACGUG
This 479-nucleotide ribosomal RNA is filed under the name uncultured bacterium. RNAcentral describes it as "partial 16S ribosomal RNA". It matches the Rfam family "Bacterial small subunit ribosomal RNA", at positions 28 to 507 of the family's 1533-position model. The record is from RNAcentral.